RNAcentral lists this transfer RNA (84 nucleotides) under Sandaracinaceae bacterium. RNAcentral describes it as "tRNA-Leu". It matches the Rfam family "tRNA". Rfam says of the family: Transfer RNA (tRNA) molecules are approximately 80 nucleotides in length. The record is from RNAcentral. Lineage: Bacteria; Pseudomonadati; Myxococcota; Polyangiales; Sandaracinaceae.
GCGGAAGUGGCGGAACUGGCAGACGCGCUGGAUUCAGGUUCCAGUGGCCGAAAGGUCGUGGAGGUUCGAGUCCUCUCUUCCGCA